GGCUCAGAACGAACGCUGGCGGCGUGCCUAACACAUGCAAGUCGAGCGGGGACAUACGACGGAUAGGAAGUUUCGGAUGGAAUUGAAGAUGUAUUGUUCUAGCGGCGGACGGGUGAGUAACGCGUGAGCAACCUGUCCCUUACAGGGGGAUAACACAGCGAAAGUUGUACUAAUACCGCAUAAGACCACGGUGAGACAUCUCACAGGGGUCAAAGGAGCAAUCCGGUAAGGGGUGGGCUCGCGUCCGAUUAGAUAGUUGGUGAGGUAACGGCCCACCAAGUCGACGAUCGGUAGCCGACCUGAGAGGGUGAUCGGCCACAUUGGGACUGAGACACGGCCCAAACUCCUACGGGAGGCAGCAGUGGGGAAUAUUGGGCAAUGGGGGGAAACCCUGACCCAGCAACGCCGCGUGAGGGAAGAAGGUUUUCGGAUCGUAAACCUCUGUCCUUGGUGAAGAGGAAGAGACGGUAGCCAAGGAGGAAGCCCCGGCUAACUACGUGCCAGCCGCGGC
Molecule: ribosomal RNA, 511 nt
Filed under: uncultured bacterium
Lineage: Bacteria
Description: bacterial SSU rRNA
Rfam family: Bacterial small subunit ribosomal RNA
Source: RNAcentral